This is an RNA transcript of Sphaerodactylus townsendi, 3061 nucleotides long. It is a transcript of the gene named sodium/potassium transporting ATPase interacting 1, with no coding region annotated. Lineage: Eukaryota; Metazoa; Chordata; Lepidosauria; Squamata; Sphaerodactylidae. The record is from RefSeq and is a predicted model, not a curated record. The transcript has 8 exons.
GCCCCGGCCUUGCCCACGCCCCGAGAGCCGCCGGAGCCACGUGGUGGCGGGCAGGGGCGAGGCGCGCGCGCUGGUGCGGUGCGCCCGGGUCGGAUUGGCUCUGGCGGCGCGCAUCUUGCGCCUCCGCUGCUGCUCUCUUCUUUUGUGCGAGUGGCGGCGGCGGAGGAGCGCCGCUUCUUCCCCACCUCCGCUCGAGGCCACGGCUCGUGGGUGUGUCCGGGUGGGAACAAUGGAGCGCGGCUAGAGGGAGGCGGGCAGCCCGGCUGGCCCGGUUGCUCCAGGCGGCGGCGGCAGAGGCACGGAGCGCGGGGCCGACAGGCAUGGAGCGCCGUCCGGGGCCGACGUGAAGCGGCUGUGCGGAGCGAGAGGCCGGCCGCAGACAAAAGACCCGACCGGCGAGGAUGUGGCGUGGCUGCCGGCGGGGGCCCUCGGAGUGAGGUCGGCCCUGGCCACCGGGCGCCACCGGGGGAGCGGAGCGCCGGGCGCGCCAGCCAUGGGGAAAUGCAGCGGGCGCUGCACGCUGGUCGCCUUCUGCUGCCUGCAACUGAUAGCCGCCCUGGAGAGGCAGAUAUUUGACUUUCUGGGUUAUCAGUGGGUGCCCAUCCUGGCUAAUUUUUUACACAUUAUGGCGGUCAUCUUAGGGAUCUUUGGCACUGUCCAGUACCGAUCCAAAUACCUCAUCCUGUAUGCAGUAUGGCUCGUGCUGUGGGUUGGAUGGAAUGCAUUCAUUAUCUGUUUUUACCUGGAAGUAGGACACCUUUCACAGGACCGAGACUUCAUCAUGACCUUUAAUACAUCGCUGCAUCGUUCUUGGUGGAUGGAGAAUGGGCCCGGUUGCCUGGUGACACCCAUCAUAAACUCUGAUCUGGCUAUCGAGGACCAUCAUGUCAUCACGGUCACUGGGUGCUUCCUGGACUACCAAUAUAUCGAGGUGGUGAGCAGCGCGAUGCAGAUAUUCCUGGCGCUCUUUGGAUUUGUCUACGCCUGCUAUGUCAGCAAAGUAUUUAUGGAAGAAGAAGACAGCUUUGAUUUCAUUGGAGGAUUCGACUCCUACGGCUACCAGGCUCCACAAAAGAUGUCACACUUACAGCUACAGCCUUUGUAUACCUCUGGAUAACAGUGAAUUUCACCUGUGAACGGGCCUCUGGGAGCCAGGUAACAGCGAAAAGCAAGCAGGAUGCCAAAUCUGAUGUAUUCAUUUGAAGGGAAAUGGCGGAUAUCCCUGCCAGAGAUUUUGUGUGGCCAGAGGACUGCCAGGAGACAGCGCAUGGACUACAUCUUGCUCUCUUGAUUGAUUGUUUCUUGAACUCUUCUGCAAAGCCACGAGAGCAUCCAUGCGCUAAGCUGAGACAGCAGCAAGAGGCGUUUCUCGUUCGCAUGCUCACAGCUGUUCUGCUCAGGAACCCAGAAGAGGCACAUCUGUCUACCUGCUGGCCAGUGUUUUGUGUGCUCCUGAGAACUGCAUCUAGCAAAGAACAUCAAGCUUAGGGCAAUAUUAUUUUCAGGAAAGGGCGAGCAAAAGCCGUUUCUAAGGAGGAUCUUUUUCAGUGGGGAAAAAAAACACACAAGGAGAAAAGAAGAACCACACCUUGUUCUGGAUCCAUUACAAAUGUCUGGUUUGCUGCCGAGCGAUGGCUUUGCAGUGUGGUUUAGCUGCAAGAGACAUUACUGUAGAGUGUGGAAUUUGGUAAAUCUGGAAAGAGAAGGUUUGAAUAGGUUCUGGAAUCUGUUUAUUGCUUUCCUCUUCUCCCUAAGGGUUUUCUACCAGUUUGACUAUUUAAAUCCAAGCUUGGCCUGGCACCAAGGGAGAAAAAAGGCGGGAAAUGAAAAGGAAACAGCAGGCAGGCAAAAUGGUGAAUUGGAUCAGCAUGGCUGGGGACGUUUCGCAGCAAGACCCUUCCCCUACAAACAGAAAACCAUGGGAAACCCAUGCUGCAAAGCAAAAGCUGCACUGCAGGAAAUAAACGCACAAAAGGCCUGCGUUUAGGAGUGCACUACCCAGUGGAAGAGAAUUUGUUUGUCUCCCAGGGUUGUGAUCUUGCUGGGAGCAAAGCUCCAGACAGCCUCUCCUGACCCAUUUUCUCCACUGCAGUGUUUCCCGACAUGAUGCCCGCGUCUCAUGUUCAAUUUGAGCUAAACCCACCAAUAAUUCCCCUGGCAACUGCCAACCUUUGCAGGAACAGGGCAGAGUCAUUUUAAGGCAUGAAUUGCUAUAGGCUCCUCUCAUUCAAAUGAACGGGCUUCGUAUAGUCACAGCGUAGGAAGGGAGGUAUUGUGUUUGGCUUUGUCUCUUGUAGCCAUUUAGUAUUUGGCUCCAACUCCAGUGGCAGCCAUUUUGGGGUGGUGCUCCCCCCCCUCCCCCCCAUUCCAUUGGUGUCUGUCCUCAAUAAAAGUUGAAGACCCCUGACUCAACUGACAUAUUUUUUUAAAUCCCCUCUUUAAGGAGCUGAGGACCAUGCAUUUGCCUAUUCCUCCCUUUGAUCCUCACAAUGACUCUUCAAGGUAGGCCAGAGUGUGGAAUCUGAAUUACAAUGGAUCUCCAGACUAAAGAAAUCGAUUCCCCUGGAGAAAAUGGCUGCUUUGGAGGAUGGGCUUCAGGGCAUUAAUACCCUGCUGAGGUAUUAAUACCCUGCCCUCCUCAGGCUUCACACCUAAAUCUCCGGAAAGUUCCUGACCUGGCAACCUUAAUUCUAGAGGAGUCGCCCAUUUGCUUUUGGUUUCAUUCACGUACUUUCAAAAUUUGCUUGAAAACAGCCUGCAAUUGGAUGAUUUGCUCCCCAUAUGAUACUUCAGCGGGCCAGGGGACCCUGAACUUUUUGAGCUUACAAGGCAUGUUUGAGAUGCUAACAUGAUGUGCUGGGCACUCCCACAAAGUGGCUGCCACAAAAUGUGACAGGAAGUGGACCCGGUUACAGAAUGACUUCUGCAGCUGAUCUUGUGCUGUGGUGGCAGCUGCUACCAAAGCAACAUUUUAAAAAUUUUACAUUGUCAGUCAGAAGCCUUGCUGGAGAAAUGCUCCAUCUGGCCCUGCCUACUUUCUAAAAACACUUGGUGGGUGCCA